ACUCCUACGGGAGGCAGCAGUGGGGAAUAUUGCACAAUGGGCGCAAGCCUGAUGCAGCAACGCCGCGUGAGCGAUGAAGGCCUUCGGUCGUAAAGCUCUGUCCUCAAGGAAGAAUAAAUGACGGUACUUGAGGAGGAAGCCCGGCUAACUACGUGCCAGCAGCCGCGGUAAUACGUAGGGGGCAAGCGUUAUCCGGAAUCACUGGGGCGUAAAGGGUGCGUAGGCGGUUUUUCAAGUCAGAAGUGAAAGGCUAUGGCUCAACCAUAGUAAGCUUUUGAAACUGUUAAACUUGAGUGCAGGAGAGGAAAGUGGAAUUCCUAGUGUAGAGGUGAAAUUCGUAGAUAUUAGGAGGAACACCAGUGGCGAAGGCGACUUUCUGGACUGUAACUGACGCUGAGGCACGAAAGCGUGGGGAGCGAACAGGAUUAGAUACCCUGGUAGCACAGGG
Molecule: ribosomal RNA, 448 nt
Filed under: uncultured bacterium
Lineage: Bacteria
Description: bacterial SSU rRNA
Rfam family: Bacterial small subunit ribosomal RNA
Source: RNAcentral